Molecule: ribosomal RNA, 253 nt
Filed under: uncultured bacterium
Lineage: Bacteria
Also listed under: 1 other name
Description: partial 16S ribosomal RNA
Rfam family: Bacterial small subunit ribosomal RNA
Source: RNAcentral
UACGGAGGGUGCGAGCGUUGUCCGGAUUUAUUGGGUUUAAAGGGUGCGUAGGCGGCCCGUUAAGUCCGGGGUGAAAGCCCGCUGCUCAACAGCGGAACUGCCCUGGAUACUGACGGGCUUGAGUACAGACGAGGUUGGCGGAAUGGACUGAGUAGCGGUGAAAUGCAUAGAUACAGUCCAGAACCCCGAUUGCGAAGGCAGCUGACUAGGCUGUUACUGACGCUGAGGCACGAAAGCGUGGGGAGCGAACAGG